Molecule: unclassified non-coding RNA, 248 nt
Filed under: uncultured Pleosporales
Lineage: Eukaryota; Fungi; Ascomycota; Dothideomycetes; Pleosporales
Description: sequence contains 5.8S rRNA gene, ITS2, 28S rRNA gene
Source: RNAcentral
AACGCACAUUGCGCCCCUUGGUAUUCCAUGGGGCAUGCCUGUUCGAGCGUCAUCUACACCCUCAAGCUCUGCUUGGUGUUGGGCGUCUGUCCCGCCUCUGCGCGCGGACUCGCCCCAAAUUCAUUGGCAGCGGUCUUUGCCUCCUCUCGCGCAGCACAAUUGCGUCCGCGGGGGGGCGUGGCCCGCGUCCACGAAGCAACAUUACCGUCGUUGACCUCGGAUCAGGUAGGGAUACCCGCUGAACUUAA